UACGUAGGGGGCAAGCGUUGUCCGGAUUUACUGGGCGUAAAGGAUGCGUAGGCGGACAUUUAAGUCAGAUGUGAAAUACCCGAGCUUAACUUGGGUGCUGCAUUUGAAACUGGGUGUCUAGAGUGCAGGAGAGGUAAGUGGAAUUCCUAGUGUAGCGGUGAAAUGCGUAGAGAUUAGGAAGAACACCAGUGGCGAAGGCGACUUACUGGACUGUAACUGACGCUGAGGCAUGAAAGCGUGGGGAGCAAACAGG
Molecule: ribosomal RNA, 253 nt
Filed under: uncultured bacterium
Lineage: Bacteria
Description: partial 16S ribosomal RNA
Rfam family: Bacterial small subunit ribosomal RNA
Source: RNAcentral